RNAcentral lists this ribosomal RNA (253 nucleotides) under uncultured bacterium. Its description in RNAcentral is "partial 16S ribosomal RNA". It matches the Rfam family "Bacterial small subunit ribosomal RNA", at positions 524 to 776 of the family's 1533-position model. The record is from RNAcentral.
UACGUAGGGACCGAGCGUUGUCCGGAAUCAUUGGGCGUAAAGAGCGUGUAGGCGGCUCGCUAAGUCUUGCGUGAAAUCUCGGGGCUCAACCCCGAGCGGUCGUGAGAAACUGGCGGGCUAGAGUGCGGGAGAGGAGAGUGGAAUUCCUGGUGUAGCGGUGAAAUGCGCAGAUAUCAGGAGGAACACCAAUAGCGAAGGCAGCUCGCUGGGACGGUAUUGACGCUAAGGCGCGAAAGCGUGGGGAGCGAACAGG